RNAcentral lists this ribosomal RNA (269 nucleotides) under uncultured prokaryote. RNAcentral's name for it is "partial 16S ribosomal RNA". It matches the Rfam family "Bacterial small subunit ribosomal RNA", at positions 524 to 792 of the family's 1533-position model. The record is from RNAcentral.
UACGGAGGAUCGGAGCGUUAUCCGGAAUUAUUGGGUUUAAAGGGUGCGUAGGCGGCCAUUUAAGUCAGCGGUUAAAUUUUGCAGCUUAACUGUAACAGUGCCGUUGAUACUGUUUGGCUAGGAUUUGGUUGUAGUGUGCGGAAUGUGUGGUGUAGCGGUGAAAUGCAUAGAUAUCACGAGGAACUCCGAUUGCGCAGGCAGCUUACUAAACUACUACUGACGCUCAGGCACGAAGGCGUGGGGAUCAAACAGGAUUAGAUACCCGCGUA